RNAcentral lists this ribosomal RNA (506 nucleotides) under uncultured bacterium. RNAcentral's name for it is "partial 16S ribosomal RNA". It matches the Rfam family "Bacterial small subunit ribosomal RNA", at positions 29 to 523 of the family's 1533-position model. The record is from RNAcentral.
AUUGAACGCUGGCGGCAGGCCUAACACAUGCAAGUCGGACGGUAGCACAGAGGAGCUUGCUCUUCGGGUGACGAGUGGCGGACGGGUGAGUAAUGUCUGGGGAUCUGCCCGAUAGAGGGGGAUAACCACUGGAAACGGUGGCUAAUACCGCAUAACGUCGCAAGACCAAAGAGGGGGACCUUCGGGCCUCUCACUAUCGGAUGAACCCAGAUGGGAUUAGCUAGUAGGCGGGGUAACGGCCCACCUAGGCGACGAUCCCUAGCUGGUCCGUGGGGAGGACCAGCCACACUGGAACUGAGACACGGUCCAGACUCCUACGGGAGGCAGCAGUGGGGAAUAUUGCACAAUGGGCGCAAGCCUGAUGCAGCCAUGCCGCGGGUAUGAAGAAGGCCUUCGGGUGGUAAAGUACUUUCAGCGGGGAGGAAGGCGAUGUGGUUAAUAACCGCGUCGAUUGACGUUACCCGCAGAAGAAGCACCGGCUAACUCCGUGCCAGCAGCCGCCGUAA